Molecule: long non-coding RNA, 2259 nt
Organism: Eurytemora carolleeae
Lineage: Eukaryota; Metazoa; Arthropoda; Copepoda; Calanoida; Temoridae
Exons: 8
Source: RefSeq, a predicted model, not a curated record
GAUACAAGAUGGAUAACUAAACUCAGCGAUUCUCCAGCUGUUUCUCUGGGACCACAUAGGAUAGGUCCGGUCUCCUAGGAGGCAGUCAGGCAACUGAUGACUAUAUAGGCCUUAAGUUAGGAAUUCUUAAAGCCUGGACAGGAAAUCAUCCGGAGUUUGCUGACUCCAAAAGUGCAGAAGAUAGAAGAGGGUUGUGGUCUCAACCUCGGCUUGUAAAUUUGCUGACGCAUAAUCAGGAGGAACAUUAGAUCUCACUUCUUCCAAUCCCAGGGACAGACAUGGCAAUGAUAAUAGAACGAAUUGUGAAUAAAUCUUUAAGAAAACAGAUUCUGUUUUAUAAUCAGCAUCAGAGAAGGAGGCCAGGCCAGGCGAUCUUGUACAAGACGAAGGAAAGGCUCCCAUUUCAUGAGUAAAGAUGUACCACUAGGAUAAUCUGCAGAUCUGCUAGACAAACCACAUUAUGCACUAUACAAUAUAAGGAAACUGCAAAUCAAGGCGUUUAUAGUUUAUUUCAUUUGUAUUUUUUAAACAAAACUCCUUAAUUUUAAUAUUAAAAAUUAAAUUUUUAAAAAUUUUUUACUUUACAAAGGCUUUAAAUGAUAAUUUCAAAUUAAAGCGCUCAGACUAUAGGAUGGCCAUUUUAGGUAAUUAUCAGAGUAACUUCAAGAUUUAACUUAAUCAAACUAAGCCUGAAAAUAACAAAACUAAGCUUAAAGGUUUAGUUUCGAGACUAUGGAUGGGUCAACCUACCUACCGAACAAUCCAGAGAUGAUUUCAAGGAUGUCCAGGAAGUAGAAGUCUUAAGCUACAAAAACUUCCAGAAGAUUUUCUGCGGAGAAGCAUUUUUCGGAAUGUCUUCAUUUACAACCCAAUAACCCAGUCUUUCAAUUUGUGCCCAUUUCUAACACCUGCUGUUACCUACAGUGUUACCUACAGUGUUACCUACAGUGUAAGCUACAGUGUGACCUACAUGUUACCAACAGUGUUACCUACAGUGUUACCUUCAGUGUUACCUACAGUGUUACCUACAGUGUUACCUACAGUGUUACCUACAGUGUUACCUGCAGUGUUACCUACAGUGUUACCUGCAGUGUUACCUACAGUGUUUCCUACAGUGUUACCUACAGUGUAACCAACAGUGUUACCUACAGUGAUACCUACAGUUUUACCUACUGUGUUACCUACAGUGUUACCUACAGUGUUACCUACAGUGUUACCUACAGUGUUACCUACAGUGUAACCUACAGUGUAACCCACAGUGAAACCUACAGUGAAACUUACAGUGAAACCUACAGUGUUACCUACUGUGUUACCUACAGUGUUACCUGCAGUGUUACCUACAGUGUUACCUUUAGUGUUACCUACAGUGUUAUUUACAGUGUUACCUGCAGUGUUUCCUAGAAUGUUACCUGCAGUGUUAUCUACAGUGUUACCUACAGUGCAACCUAUAGUGUAACCUACAGUGAAAACUACAGUGUUACAAGUGUUACUUACAGUGUAACCUACAGUGAAACAUGUGUUACCUACAGGUUUACCUACAGUGUUACCUAAAGUGUUACCUACAGUGUUACCUACAGUGUUACCUACAGUGUUACCUACAAAGGAUGAGACUGUAAUGACAAACUGGAACUUAAUUAUGAAAUCUGAGAUCUGGAAGUUUGUUUUGUCCUAAGUUUUUAGCCUUAUGUCCUAUUUGAUUUGGCUAAGAAAGGGUUAAAGUUUAAAGCUGAAGAGACCAAGAAUCUAAGAAAAGAGGCUGAUACAAUUCAGUCUAGUUGUCGCUGAAGUCUCAUCCUUUGUGGGUAACCCUGUAAUAAUAUUUUCUUUAAAUCUGUUUCAGCCUACACAGUCCUUGCGGCAUGACGAGAAGAUAUUCAUGUCAUUCAUGAAUGCUUCUGCCUUCUGUCUGACCGGACCCACCUGGACAUCUGUUGUCACUGCUUGCAUUCUCCUUCUCCUCUUCAGCGGCUCCAUGAUGAUGAAUUUUUACUGAGCUAGCUUAUUCAUAAUCCUAUGCUUAUUCAAUGAAGGUAACAAGCAGAGUGCCCGUAAUGCUGUGAAUACAAGCUUCCUCUAUGUCCUUCAGAUCUACUCCUACGUCAUCUUUAAGGAAAUCCAUCCACUCACUACUGAAUUGUAUCAGCCUCUUUUCUUAGAUUCUUGGUCUCUUAUAUAUAGAUGCGCUGUUCAGUCGAAACCUUAAGAACCAUUGAAAAACAAUUUUUUUCGCACAAACUAUACGAGAACUGAAAAUUGCGA